UUCUGACACCUUUUGUUACAAAAUUCAGUUGUGCUUCUUUCAUUUUCUGCUCUUUUGACUAGGUUUCUGAAGAAUACCAGUUGCUUAACACCUGAUGUCGUCCAAGGGGCCCAGAAGAAAAUACUGUCCUCAGCAGAAUAUUCAGAAGAAUGGAAAGCAAAAUUACAGACUUCUAACCAUAUAAUUUCCCUGGAUUUCAGAGAAGAGCUGAAAAGAGUCUACAGACAAAUAGAACUAGAGCGGCAGAGAACUGUGUUUCUCACUGAUGAAUCAGAUGUAGUUCAGGUAAAUGUUUUUUUUUUAAUGUGAUACUUGUCCACAUUAAGACACAUACGUGAACUUCCCCGUGUUGUAUUGUCAUAUAACAUGCAACUAUGAGCAUAUUAAGUCCAAACAAAAGGAGAAUAGAAGCUAAAAGUCUGGGUUGUUAG
Molecule: long non-coding RNA, 431 nt
Filed under: Apteryx rowi (Okarito brown kiwi)
Lineage: Eukaryota; Metazoa; Chordata; Aves; Apterygiformes; Apterygidae
Description: lncRNA (ENSARWG00000012375.1)
Source: RNAcentral